CUCAGCAAAUUAGCGAUAAAGUGUAUAAAAAAUCAGGUGAGCAGGUAAAGUCUGCAGGUUACGACCUCAGGUUAGACGCCAUUCCCUUCCAGACAGCCAAGGCCUCCAGAGAAAUUGCCAGUGAUUUCCACUACAAGGAGGCAUUUGUCAAAGGUAAAGGCCAGCAGGUGGGCUUUCUUAGCGUUGAGGAUGACCCCAAGAUCAGACACUCACUGGCUGUAGGGAAGCUCCAGAGUGACAACGAGUACAAG
Long non-coding RNA from Sinocyclocheilus grahami, 251 nucleotides. RefSeq lists it as uncharacterized. The transcript is spliced from 3 exons. Lineage: Eukaryota; Metazoa; Chordata; Actinopteri; Cypriniformes; Cyprinidae. The record is from RefSeq and is a predicted model, not a curated record.